AGACCUCAGUCAGGCAGGGGGCUACCCGCUGAGUUUAA
RNAcentral lists this ribosomal RNA (38 nucleotides) under Lespedeza cuneata (sericea lespedeza). RNAcentral describes it as "partial 28S ribosomal RNA". Lineage: Eukaryota; Viridiplantae; Streptophyta; Magnoliopsida; Fabales; Fabaceae. The record is from RNAcentral.